RNAcentral lists this unclassified non-coding RNA (380 nucleotides) under uncultured Latescibacterota bacterium. Its description in RNAcentral is "uncultured Latescibacteria bacterium contains 16S-23S intergenic spacer region". The record is from RNAcentral. Lineage: Bacteria; Pseudomonadati; Candidatus Latescibacterota.
UCCGUCCUAUCGACGGCAGUCCCCCUAGAGUGCUCAACUUUACUUGUUAGCAACUAGGGGCAAGGGUUGCGCUCGUUGCGGGACUUAACCCAACAUCUCACGACACGAGCUGACGACAGCCAUGCAGCACCUGUGCAACGGCCCCUUGCGGGGAAGGUGUGUUUCCACACCUGUCCGAUGCAUGUCAAGCCUGGGUAAGGUUCUUCGCGUUGCAUCGAAUUAAACCACAUGCUCCACCGCUUGUGCGGGCCCCCGUCAAUUCCUUUGAGUUUCAACCUUGCGGUCGUACUCCCCAGGCGGGGCACUUAAUGCGUUAGCUGCGGCACGGAAGGGGUCGAUGCCUCCCACACCUAGUGCCCACCGUUUACAGCUGGGACUAC